Long non-coding RNA from Peromyscus leucopus (white-footed mouse), 854 nucleotides. RefSeq lists it as uncharacterized. Lineage: Eukaryota; Metazoa; Chordata; Mammalia; Rodentia; Cricetidae. The transcript has 3 exons. The record is from RefSeq and is a predicted model, not a curated record.
AUAGUGUUUGUGCAGGCUCUUUGUGCCUGAGUCCUAGCGUCCUCAGAUGAAUUGGCUUUGCUUUCUAGCCCUCAAGCAGCCGAAAUCUCACCAAACAUGCGGAUUAUACUUUACUUUCUCCCAUAGAACACUGCCAAAGUCAAGCGUUCCCGUAGAGUGCUCUGCGCACAGAAAGCGUCUGGACUACAUGUCCCAGCAUUCUCUGUAAGGCUCUUUCCCCACCAGCCCAAGAUUUUCCUUUCACUAAACAGGUGAACGCGGGGCUUCGUGGGCACAUCUGUCAUUUCAGUACUCCGGAGGAUGAGGCAAGAGUCCUGCGUGGGUUACUGUCUUAGUUACUGUUCUGUUGCUGUGAAGAGGCACCACGACCAAGGUUUUCUUGCCAGUGUGAACUGUAUGAUGUCAGGCGGGUUGAUGACUUCAUCAAGAAGCCUUUCCACGCCGGGCGGUAGUGGUGCACGCCUUUAAUCCCAGCACUCGGGAGGCAGAGCCAGGUGGAUCAUUGUGAGUUCGAGGCCAGCCUGGACUACCGAGAACCCUGGGAAAAGGCGGGAGCUGGCUCACACAGAUGGCGCAAGAACUUGGGAUGCGGAUGCAGAGGAGAUAAGGGAGAAUAGCACAGUGGAAGCAGUUGGGCAUGCCUGGUUAUGAAUUAUGAAAAGGUUAGGCUGUAGAUGUCAUUCUAAACGGUCUUAUUAAAUAAGAAACACAGAGCCAAAUGAAGAGUUAAAAGCCUAGAGAUCGAGCAGUAGUCAAGAGCUAAGACCACUUUAUCUUAACCACUCGCUGCUGUCCUUCCCCUGAGAGAGAGACCUUCUUCCUGUGUCCUGUCUUUUUAUUGACUUUCUGUUCUG